CCUCCCUAAAAACAGGAAGCAAGCAGACAGCCCUGCAUGAACAGGCACAGAUGUCCGUAGGCAGACCCGAGUCACAGACAGGUCCGGUUUCAUCCCGAUAAGCUGUGAGCCGAGGAGGAUAACCCCCUUUGAUGAGAGUUUAUGUUUGAUGAGCCUCUGCCUGAUCAACUGUCAGAGAAAUAAAGAGAGAGAGAGAGAGACGAUCGGGAUGGCGAGCCCUGCCCAGCGAUUCUAAGAGAGAGAGGGAGAGAGAGAGUUGGAGAUGAGGUGUGGCCAGCCGCAGAACCUACCUUGAAGACUCCAGAUCAUCUGAAUCACGCAUUCUCCCAGGUGUCUGCCGCCAAGACUUGUUGGCGGGUCAUGUUGGUGAAGACGACCGGGCGGUGACCUGUAAGGAUGCUGAGGUAUCCCAUGGCAUACCCCAUGAGCUCGCAGUGUUGUUUGCCAAAUGUGCCAUCCCCAGGGCUAUGUGCCACGACCGUACCACGGCGGAAAAGUUCUACAUGGCGCUACUGGACAAAGACAUGGCAUACCAGACCUGAAAACUCUGCAUCAAGGCCCUUGACCAAAUCCUCCAAGGACACCGAUGUCACAGACGACUCAUCGUUACCGGCCGAACAUUCGGAGGAUACCCCACAGUCAAGCUCCGAUGACGAGGGACCUGUCCUCCAGGAUGAGUCUGACUCCUCCUCUUCCUUUUCCUCUGAGGAGAUGCUUGUCAUGGCCCUAUUCACCCUUUCCUUGUGAUUGAUUAAACACAGUUUUAUUCAGGGAUAAACCCCAUGUAAGGAUAAUAUUAACUGAUGCAUUAAAACUAUUAAGUUAACUUUUGGGGAAAGGGCCCCUCAAUGAUAGGAGCCUCAUUAUGUCAGUUAUCAUUUCAGUUGGCAUUGUGCAGUGGUGCACAUUCCCAAUCGAAUUUAAAGUAAUUAGAGUCAUAACAAAGUAAUUGCCGAGCUGUGAACCUGGAUCCACUAGGGCCCCUGAGGACCCAACUAACUGCAGAUGUUUCGUAAAUAAAGAAAAGGGAAGAGAGAGAGGAGAAUCUUGUAUGGUUCCUCCAUAUACAUCUACAAACUCCACCAUAACUCCAA
Molecule: long non-coding RNA, 1094 nt
Organism: Acanthopagrus latus (yellowfin seabream)
Lineage: Eukaryota; Metazoa; Chordata; Actinopteri; Spariformes; Sparidae
Exons: 4
Source: RefSeq, a predicted model, not a curated record